Molecule: long non-coding RNA, 532 nt
Organism: Gorilla gorilla gorilla (western lowland gorilla)
Lineage: Eukaryota; Metazoa; Chordata; Mammalia; Primates; Hominidae
Exons: 2
Source: RefSeq, a predicted model, not a curated record
UGAAUUCGCUGAGCGGCGAGAGUGGAGUGGGUGCCUGGGUGGGGGUCAGGGGCGGUAGCCAGGCAGAAGCUGGAGGGAGAAGAUGGAUUAGGAGGCGCCUCUCUUCCCUCCCCGCGUCAAAGAUUAUGAAUGGAGAGCUACAUCCCAUAGGGUGGCAGAUGAAGAUGUGCAAGAAGAAGACACUAACAAUUGAAUUGCAGAUUGAGGAGAUGAGAUUAUGGUGACAGAAUCCAUCUUCGGUGUAUGUGCAUGAAGAAAUAAGCCAAAUCUACAUCUAUAAAACCGCGGGGAAGGAAUGAGAUAAUAAUCAGUUGCAGGUCUGCUUAGAUUUUAAUCAUUUAGUGUAGUUCGUGGCAGGAUCUGAUACCCUAUUUCAAUAGUGGAGAGAAUUAGAAAGCAUUUUCUUUUUUCAUAUCUACUAUUAUUGGUUAUAUAAAAGAAGUAUCAAAUGGUUUCUGCUUUCAUGGAAUAUACUGUCCAGUCACAAAGGAAAGAAGAUGGAGAGAUGAUUAAAAAAAAAAAAAAGAACAAA